This 860-nucleotide ribosomal RNA is filed under the name uncultured bacterium. RNAcentral describes it as "bacterial SSU rRNA". It matches the Rfam family "Bacterial small subunit ribosomal RNA", at positions 1 to 830 of the family's 1533-position model. The record is from RNAcentral.
CGGAGAGUUUGAUCCUGGCUCAGGACGAACGCUGGCGGCGUGCCUAAUACAUGCAAGUCGAACGAACUCUGGUAUUGAUUGGUGCUUGCAUCAUGAUUUACAUUUGAGUGAGUGGCGAACUGGUGAGUAACACGUGGGAAACCUGCCCAGAAGCGGGGGAUAACACCUGGAAACAGAUGCUAAUACCGCAUAACAACUUGGACCGCAUGGUCCGAGUUUGAAAGAUGGCUUCGGCUAUCACUUUUGGAUGGUCCCGCGGCGUAUUAGCUAGAUGGUGAGGUAACGGCUCACCAUGGCAAUGAUACGUAGCCGACCUGAGAGGGUAAUCGGCCACAUUGGGACUGAGACACGGCCCAAACUCCUACGGGAGGCAGCAGUAGGGAAUCUUCCACAAUGGACGAAAGUCUGAUGGAGCAACGCCGCGUGAGUGAAGAAGGGUUUCGGCUCGUAAAACUCUGUUGUUAAAGAAGAACAUAUCUGAGAGUAACUGUUCAGGUAUUGACGGUAUUUAACCAGAAAGCCACGGCUAACUACGUGCCAGCAGUCGCGGUAAUACGUAGGUGGCAAGCGUUGUCCGGAUUUAUUGGGCGUAAAGCGAGCGCAGGCGGUUUUUUAAGUCUGAUGUGAAAGCCUUCGGCUUAACCGGAGAAGUGCAUCGGAAACUGGGAGACUUGAGUGCAGAAGAGGACAGUGGAACUCCAUGUGUAGCGGUGGAAUGCGUAGAUAUAUGGAAGAACACCAGUGGCGAAGGCGGCUGUCUAGUCUGUAACUGACGCUGAGGCUCGAAAGCAUGGGUAGCGAACAGGAUUAGAUACCCUGGUAGUCCAUGCCGUAAACGAUGAGUGCUAAGUGUUGGAGGG